Molecule: ribosomal RNA, 440 nt
Filed under: uncultured bacterium
Lineage: Bacteria
Description: partial 16S ribosomal RNA
Rfam family: Bacterial small subunit ribosomal RNA
Source: RNAcentral
CCUACGGGUGGCAGCAGUGGGGAAUAUUGCACAAUGGGCGCAACCCUGAUCCAGCAACGCCGCGUGAAUGAUGACGGCCUUCGGGUUGUAAAGCUCUGUCUUCAGGGACGAUAAUAGCGGUACCUGCUGAUGAAUCCACGGCUAACUACGUGCAAGCAGCAGCGGUAAUACGUAGGUGGCGAGCGUUGUCCGGAUGUACUGGGCGUAAAGGGAGCGUAGGCGGCAUUUUAAGUGAGAUGUGAAAUACUCGGGCUCAACCUGAAGGCUGCAUUUGAAACUGGAAGUCUGGAGUGCAGGAGAGGAGAACGGAAUUCCGAGUGUAGCGGUGAAAUGCGUAGAGAUUAGGAAGAACACCAGUGGCGAAGGCGAAUUGCUGGACUGUAACUGACGCUGAGGCGCGAAAGCGUGGGGAGCAAACAGGAUUAGAUACCCGGGUAGUC